CGCAGAGUUGCUUAGCAUGAUUCCCCGGUGGGCGUUGCUGGAAUGAGAUCAGAACCAGAAGACGCUGCAGGUCCUUGGACCCCCCACCCAAGCUCAUCCAGAGUGACAAGGAUGGAUGCUCUAGUGGGGACCUGGGACAGUGGAAUCGGGCCACUUCUGGUCUGUCUUGUGGGAGCCUGGGCUACACUACAAGAAGCUCCCUGCUGACUUCUGGGUCCUGGCCAUCACAUGGCUAGAGAAAUUGUUUCCUGAUAUAGGUGAAAUGCAGAGCCUGAUGUUGAUUUAUUCUCCAAGAAAUGGACAUCCUACUUCCCACCAAGGACAAGGCCCUGUCCAGAAUUGAGAGACUCCACAUGUGUGACCUAUGCCUCCCAGGAGAGCAGCACUAAACUAGUUUAAACCUGACCGAGUUCUGUCUACCUGGUAGAUUUAGAUUUCUCCAUGCCCUGUCUACACUGAGUAUAUUUAGAUUUGACCAGGUUCUGCCCACAGUAGGAUGUGGGGACCUGGGUAGAGACUCAGCCUCUGUCCUGAGAGCUUUGUGGGGGACAUGGGUUUCUGGGCAGAGACCCAGACUAGCCUCAGUCCUGGGAAGCCCUGUGCCUCUGUCCAAAUGUCUGUGCUUAGAUGUCAGCUCUGGAACUGAGAUGGGCUGGUCUGCUCUAAGUGUUGUUCUCUGCCCUCCCAGGGGUCAUUGCUGUGGGAGUGGCCUUAGUCCUUACCCCUGGAUGUCCACCUUCCAUGGGGCUGCUAGAGGCUCCUCAGGUGAGCUGCCUCAUAAUUAAACUAAUUCACCAGGGAGUUCCUGCUCUGGUGCAGCAGCUUAAGAAUCUGACUGCAGUGGCUCUAGUCGUUGCAGAGGUAUAGAUUUGAUCCCCAGUUUGGCACGAUGGGUUAAAGGAUCUAGCACUGCUGUAGCUGCAGCAUAGGUCUAAGCUGGCCUGGGAACUUCCAUACGUUGUGGGUGCAGCUAUUAAAAAAAAUACAUAAAAAAUAAACUAAUUCACCAGGAUGCACAGGGUGAGGAGGGAGGCAGGUGUGCCUGGUGAAUUGAAUGCGGGACACGUGGGUCUGGGUGUAAGGCCAAUCGGCAGAAGGAGAAGUUGCCUCUGGGGUCUCCUUCUAGUUGCCCAUCCCUGCUCAGCAGAGUCCAGAUCUGCCUCUCCUCUUUCAGCCCUGGUUUCCCAUGUGUCUUCUCAACACUUUGGCAAGACAGGAAAUGGCUGAGCCUACCAGAACAAAGGUAGUGUGUUCAACUUUAGCAUAAAAGGUUAAAAGCAAUUAAAAUCACCCAGAACCAAAGUGAAAAGAGGUGGGACUGACUUCUCUGGAAUAGGUAUUAGAGGAGGAGACAAACCCUACACUUAUUUUAUAGUCCUAGCAGGUCCUGGAGACCUGGCUUAUUCCCAGGUUGGGAGCCCCCCAAGCACAGCCCUGGUGUCCUGACCAAGGGCACCUGUGAACCCAAGUGCAGGGUCUAGGGAGGUGCUGUGGUGUAGGCCAGCAGCUACAGUUCUGAUUGGACCCCUAGCUUGGGAACCUCCAUAUGCCGUGGGUGCAGCCCUUAAAACCAAAAAAAAGUGCUAUAGGAAGAAAGUUAUAUUUACUACUACAAAGAAAACUGAAUUUUUGUUCACAAUUAAGCAUUAACCUGAGAAUAGUGGAAAUCAGUGUAUGAAAUUUCCUGAAAUAGUGAAGACUGCUCCCAUUGACAUUACAUAAUGAAAGUAUGCUACUACAUCAUAUGUACCCUGGAGGACAAGGUCCCAGGAUGAACUGGCUGCGAUGAUUCCUAUUAAACCACCUGUUGUACAUAGAAAAAUAAAGCCUAAAGCUGUCAAGGUAGUGGGAGAUCAUGCUAUGUUACAUCUGUGAACCAGCUGAAUAUCUUUACUCCUGUAGGAACAGCAAUAAUUAUGGCAGCUGAUGUAAGCUCAUGGAUUAACAUCUAUCCCUGUGAUAAAUAUAUGGUGAGCCCAUAAGAUAAAUCCUAAAAAGCCAACGGACAUGAUUCAUAACCCUUUCCAUGUAUCUGAAAGGUUCUUUUUGUCCUAAAUAGUGUGUCAUGAUAUGUGAAACUAUUCCAAACCCUGGGAGGCUAUGAAUAGAGACUUCAGGGUGACAAAGAAUCAAUAUAGGUGUUGGUAUAGGAUUGGGUCUCCUCCUGCGGGGUCAAAGAAAGUAGUUUAGAUUUUGAUCUGUUAACACUGAGGUAAUUCCAGUUGCUAGGACUGAGAGGGAUAAUUAUAAUAGUACAGCUAUAAUUGGGGCAGAUCAAACAAAUAAUGGUGUUUGGUAUUGGAAUAAUGGCUGGUGGUUUAAAAUUAAAGAUUGUAAUCAUAAAAUUAAUAGCACCAAGGUUUGAGGAAACAUUUGCUAAAAGGAAGGAGAAAAUGGUUAGGUUGACAGCGGCUUCUGCGUGUACCCGAUUGCCAGCUAGAGGUGGAUGUAUGUGUCGACCAGUACCAGAACCAGCUUUGCUAGUGAUGAUACAAGUUGGAAUAUGAAUGAGGGGGAUGUAGUCAAAAGUUUAGAUUAUUUAGUGAAAUGCUACAUCAGGUGUCCCAGUUAUUAGUGGAACAAGACAGUUUCCAAACCCUCCAAUGAUAAAUGGGCACAACUAUAAAGAAAAAUAUUAGAAAUGCAGGGUCUGUCAUGACUAUGUUACAGAUUUAGUCAUCUCCAAAUAGGCUGCAGGUUAGCGUAGCUGAGCUCAGAUCAAUAGACUUAAGGUGUUGCCUACUGUUCCAGCUCAAGCACCAAAUAGUAAAGUGACAAUACAUUUGUGAUUUGUUGGAAGUAAUAAGCAAUUUAGGAACACAGGUAAAGUGGCUAAGCAAGCAUUAGAAUAUAAAUCAAAAGAAAGAAAUUAGCUCUCUUUUUGUCAAAUCCUGUGAUGAAUUAACUAAUGGAAUUGCAAAUUCAAAGAAGCAGCUUCAAUUUGGCUUUUCCAUAUUUUUCUGUUUCCUUGAAGACAAGAGCAGUAGCUUGAAGCCAGUUGCCUAGAGUAUUUACCUGUUAACUAAAAUUUUCUGGGGUGGAAGUCCAUCUUUCGUAAACCUUAUUUUCAGGAAGUAAGUAAACCCUGACCCUUGCUUAGGGUUUUGAAAGCUCUUGGUCAAAACAAACCUAAAUUCCUAGUCCAGCACUGAUAGAGUGGGCGUUAAGGGUAAUAAUGUGGACAUUAUGAUUGAUAAUGAUUGAAAGUUUUUUUGCUUUGGAUGUGAAAAUUGUUUUACCUUUAUGUUUAUUGAAGGGAGUAUAGUUAGUGAUGUGGAGAUUGAUAGCCACAAGUAGAAAUAUGUGCUGAGUAGUACUCUGAUGACUUUUGUGUAAGUAGAACGAUGUUAUCAUUUUUUUCUCUCUUGCAUAAUUUUUCACUUGGGUGAAAACACUGAUGUUGAUGGGAGGCCUUCUAACGAUACUCUGAUGAUGAGGAUAAGGAUUGUGAUGGGAGGUGGGUUUGUUUUCAUCCAUGUGAUAAUGAUACUGUUGUGGUACAUGAGGGGGCACAAAUAGUUAAGAAGUUAGUGGUAUUAUGACAUAAUUAGUGCAUUUAGGAUUGUUAUGGUUGGAUUAUGCAUUAUCAUAGCUGUUAUUCAUCCUAUGUGGACAAGUGAUGAGAAGGCCAUGAUAUUUGCAGUUGAGCUUGGUUGAGUCCCUUGCAGCCUCCAAUUAAGAUUCAUAACAUAGCUUUGACAGUAUGUUUAGUUGAUGAGUGUUGAGAUUUAGGUACAAAUCUGUCAUGUUAAUAACAUCAGGCCUGUUGUUCACAUUAGGCCUUGUGUUACUUCAGGCACUCAGAACUGAAAUGAGAAAAGUCCUAAUUUUAUGGCAAAAGCUAUUGUUUUGCUGGUGGAUGCUGUUGGACUAAAGAUUUUUUUGUAAUUUAUUGUGUUAGACUAACAAUAACCGCCAUCAUAAGUAAUAUUGAUGUGGUAGACUGUUUCAGAAAAUAUUUGUUGGAUGCUUCUAUAGCUUAUGGUUUAACUUUUUUAUUAGAAUGAAGAUAAUGUUAAUUAGUGUGAACUUCCUGAGAUAAUGAUCAGUAAAAUGAUAGUAAAAACAAUAGGGUUUAUUAGUACAUGAAGAUAUAAAACAGCAUAUAUACAACAUGUUGGGGGCAUGGGCCUGACAGCUUACUUACUGGGACUUAUUGUAGUGGUGUAACAUGAUAGCAGAAGCAUGUACAAUUCUUUUUUUUUUUUUUUCUUUUUUUUUUU
Sus scrofa (pig) is the source of this 4223-nucleotide non-coding RNA. Lineage: Eukaryota; Metazoa; Chordata; Mammalia; Artiodactyla; Suidae. The record is from RefSeq and is a predicted model, not a curated record.